RNAcentral lists this RNase P RNA (442 nucleotides) under Anaerolineaceae bacterium. RNAcentral describes it as "RNase P RNA component class A". It matches the Rfam family "Bacterial RNase P class A". From Rfam's summary of the family: Ribonuclease P (RNase P) is a ubiquitous endoribonuclease, found in archaea, bacteria and eukarya as well as chloroplasts and mitochondria. Its best characterised activity is the generation of mature 5'-ends of tRNAs by cleaving the 5'-leader elements of precursor-tRNAs. Cellular RNase Ps are ribonucleoproteins. Lineage: Bacteria; Bacillati; Chloroflexota; Anaerolineae; Anaerolineales; Anaerolineaceae. The record is from RNAcentral. RNAcentral also lists the same sequence under 2 other names.
GAGGCCGGCCGGGUGGUCGCGGCGCAGCGCAGGCUGCGUCGAGGAAAGUCCGCACUCCACAGGGCAGGGAGCCGGGGAAAACCCGGGCGGGGGUAACCUCGCGCACAGGGCCACAGAAACAGACCGCCAGCGACCUGCGCUUCGCGCGCAGGUGCGGGCAAGGGUGAAAAGGUGGGGUAAGAGCCCACCGGCGCGUCGGGUAACCGGCGCGGCCAGGCAACCGCCUCCCGGAGCAAGGCCGAGCAGGGGCGAAGGCGGCUUGUCCGCCGGGGUGUGGCCCGCACCCCUGGAGCCCCGGGUAGGCCGCACCGCCUGCGGGCGGGCGCGUGGCACCCCCACGCGCAGACAGAUGACCACCCAGGCGGGCCGCGGGCGGGAAGACGCCAUGGCGUAAACCGUCCGCCCCGUCGGACAGAAUGCGGCUUACAGGCCGACCUUCUCU